GCGACGGUUUUGGUGACUUCCAAAUUGAUCCGGGAUCCAUACAAGCAAUUUCUGAUGAACAGCUUCCUACCGAUUCUCCAAGCAGUACACAAGAACCAACAAGCGAUAAACAACGCGAAUGCUCGUGUAAAAAUGCCUUGUUUGGAGCUAUAAUUGGAAUUCUUGUUCUUAUAAUAAUUCUCCUCAUUAUCUACGUGGUGUGGCUGCACAAGAAAGGUACAGCAGGAACAAAACGGCAAUAUGAAGACAACAGAGGAGUAUAUGAUGUAAGAUAAUCUAUUUGUUG
Orbicella faveolata is the source of this 286-nucleotide long non-coding RNA. Lineage: Eukaryota; Metazoa; Cnidaria; Anthozoa; Scleractinia; Merulinidae. The record is from RefSeq and is a predicted model, not a curated record.